Molecule: ribosomal RNA, 1491 nt
Filed under: metagenome
Description: bacterial SSU rRNA
Rfam family: Bacterial small subunit ribosomal RNA
Source: RNAcentral
AGAGUUUGAUCCUGGCUCAGAUUGAACGCUGGCGGCAUGCCUUACACAUGCAAGUCGAACGGCAGCACGAGAGCUUGCUCUUGGUGGCGAGUGGCGAACGGGUGAGUAAUAUAUCGGAACGUACCCUAGAGUGGGGGAUAACGUAGCGAAAGUUACGCUAAUACCGCAUACGAUCUACGGAUGAAAGUGGGGGAUCGCAAGACCUCAUGCUCAUGGAGCGGCCGAUAUCUGAUUAGCUAGUUGGUGGGGUAAAAGCUCACCAAGGCGACGAUCAGUAGCUGGUCUGAGAGGACGACCAGCCACACUGGAACUGAGACACGGUCCAGACUCCUACGGGAGGCAGCAGUGGGGAAUUUUGGACAAUGGGCGCAAGCCUGAUCCAGCAAUGCCGCGUGAGUGAAGAAGGCCUUCGGGUUGUAAAGCUCUUUUGUCAGGGAAGAAACGGUGGACUCUAAUACAGAUCACUAAUGACGGUACCUGAAGAAUAAGCACCGGCUAACUACGUGCCAGCAGCCGCGGUAAUACGUAGGGUGCAAGCGUUAAUCGGAAUUACUGGGCGUAAAGCGUGCGCAGGCGGUUGUGCAAGACAGAUGUGAAAUCCCCGGGCUCAACCUGGGAAUUGCAUUUGUGACUGCACGGCUAGAGUGUGUCAGAGGGGGGUAGAAUUCCAUGUGUAGCAGUGAAAUGCGUAGAGAUGUGGAGGAAUACCGAUGGCGAAGGCAGCCCCCUGGGAUAACACUGACGCUCAUGCACGAAAGCGUGGGGAGCAAACAGGAUUAGAUACCCUGGUAGUCCACGCCCUAAACGAUGUCUACUAGUUGUCGGGUCUUAAUUGACUUGGUAACGCAGCUAACGCGUGAAGUAGACCGCCUGGGGAGUACGGUCGCAAGAUUAAAACUCAAAGGAAUUGACGGGGACCCGCACAAGCGGUGGAUGAUGUGGAUUAAUUCGAUGCAACGCGAAAAACCUUACCUACCCUUAACAUGUCUGGAAUCCUUGAGAGAUCAGGGAGUGCUCGAAAGAGAAUCAGAACACAGGUGCUGCAUGGCUGUCGUCAGCUCGUGUCGUGAGAUGUUGGGUUAAGUCCCGCAACGAGCGCAACCCUUGUCAUUAGUUGCUACGAAAGGGCACUCUAAUGAGACUGCCGGUGACAAACCGGAGGAAGGUGGGGAUGACGUCAAGUCCUCAUGGCCCUUAUGGGUAGGGCUUCACACGUCAUACAAUGGUACAUACAGAGGGCCGCCAACCCGCGAGGGGGAGCUAAUCCCAGAAAGUGUAUCGUAGUCCGGAUUGUAGUCUGCAAUUCGACUACAUGAAGUUGGAAUCGCUAGUAAUCGCGGAUCAGCAUGUCGCGGUGAAUACGUUCCCGGGUCUUGUACACACCGCCCGUCACACCAUGGGAGCGGGUUUCACCAGAAGUGGGUAGCCUAACCGCAAGGAGGGCGCUCACCACGGUGGGAUUCGUGACUGGGGUGAAGUCGUAACAAGGUA